AUUCAUUCUGUGCAUCUACAGGGUUUGGAUUUUUGUGGAUGGUAUGAAACCCUAAUUAUCUCUCUGUAUUCUCACCACAUUUAAGAAAUGUUGUUGAUAUCAGAAAUCAACUAUUUAGGGUUUGAAUUAUAAAGGGUUUGGUUCAGAUUUUCUGUUGAGGAUCAAGAAGAACAGAUGAUGAUAAAUAAAAGGUUUGGUUCAGAUUUGAAGAAUGGUGAAGUUAGGGUUGAUGUUGGUUUGUGAAUAUGAUGAAAUGAAAUAGCAGUAGGGUUUGUUCCGAGAGAAGAAUCAGUUGGGAGAAGUGGUGUUACUGCUUUGGUUGUGGCCGAUUAAUUCAGGGGUGUUGACCUGAUUUUGUUGUUUGCUAAUGGCGGCUGUUGGAGCAAUUCUUGAGAUGUCAUUACAUAAGGGUUUGGGAUGUUGAUUGACAUGGGUUUGUGGUUGUCAGGUUCUGAAUCUGAGAAGAUGUGAUAAAUGAAAUAUACACAGCUACAUGGGUUUAAGCUUGUGAUGAUUGCAGGCUACGCUUGUAAGCUGAGCUUGAGUUGACAUGAAAUUGGAAAUGUAUGAAUGAAUGUAUUGCUGUGGAGAUUUGGGUACAAAUUGAGAUGGGAAUGAAGAAGGUUCAACGACAACAUAUCUGUGGGUUCAUUGCAUAAGCUUGAUUGAUGGAGAUUUGGGGUUUUUUUGUUGUCUAGUGGUGGUGUUUUGAGUGAUUGAUGGAGUCGCAGAACAGCUGAAGUAAGUGAUGGUGCUGAGACGAGAAUGGAGCAGGUGGUGAUUGAAUUAGGUAUUCUGUGAUGAAGUAACGAGAAGCAACAAGCAGCAACAGAUCUGUUUUGGGGGUUUUGAAUUUAAAUGAAAUGAGGUUUGUUCUUGAAUUAAACAAGAUGGAAAAUGAGUCAAUAAGCUCGCUGUUUGAACAUGGAAGAUUGGAUAGUUCUGCAGGUGUUUGUUUGAAUGCAGAAAGGUGUUGUUGUCAUCGAUGUUGUAAUCAGUGAAGGCAACAGAUUUUGAGUUUUGCUGUGGCCUGAAAUUGAGUAUUAUUGCAGUCCUGAGACAUAAAUGGGUAUGGAGUCAAGACUUCAAUCUAACUGGUACUGGUAGCUAGAAGCUCUGAGAUGGGUGUUGUUGAUUACUUAUCUUACAAAGAUACAGGAGAAGAUGGGAGCAAACUGAAUUUAGUUGGUGGUGCUGGAGUUUAUGAGCAGCUCUUGGCACUGGAUUGCAGACUUGAACUCUUUGAAGACAGACUCGCACAAAUUUGAGUCCCAUUAUACCUACAAUCUUGUUGGAUAGCAAUUGUGCAUUUGAAAAUUCAUUAGAUCAAAAUGAUUGAACUAUUAAGCUCACUCUUUCUUUUGGCUACAGGUAGCGAAGAAGCUUACUUUGAGAGGUCGCCAAUCAAAUUUGUUGAUAAGUUUUCUUGCCAUGUGAUUAUAUUCCAAGGAUUAGAGGAUAAGGUUGUGACUCUAGAUCAAGCUCGUAAAAUUUAUACAGCUCUAAAACAAAAAGGGGUUCUUGUUGCACUGGUAGAGUAUGAAGGAGAGCAACAUGGAUUAGCAGCAAGCAGUUAGGUUGUGUUGUUCGAAAUAGAUGGGCUAAAUUGGGAUAGUUGGUUGAGCUGGUUGCAAUUAAAGGAGGUGAUGCUCAGUUGGUUCAAAACAAGAAGGGUGUUGUGGUUGGCAGUGGCCGGAGUUGUCUAGUGUCCUGAACUUGGAAGAUGGGUGAUGAUAAAAUGGGCCUGUCACAAUACUUAUACAGUCCAGUUGGAUGACUUCGCGGGAGAUACAUAUACAUCAGUUAUAGCAAAUAACAUUACACAUUUCCAUCCACGAACUAAAAUCAUCCUUGACCCUGGAAAGCUGCUGGUUCCAGAAUAUGCCGUAACAUUUGUGAGGGAAACUUCAAAGAAGCCGUUUGGACGCCUUUGGUGUGACGAUAUUGUAUCUACUAUUGUGGGAAGGGCUGAGAUCCAUAACCAGUGAUCAGAUGAGGCGAAAUGGAGUAGUUUACAAGAUGGCUGAAUGAGUAUAUUGAGUAGUUGUGGUACUAUUGCCAUGAGUAUAAUCAUUUGAAACUAAUUGGUGAGAUCAGAAAAGUUGGUUAAACUUUAGAGUUUUUUAUUUUUGCUAGCAAGAUUUGCAGCUGAGGCUCUGAUUUAUUACCAUUUUGUAAUUGUUGCUUUUGCAGACUUUUGUUGAUAAGUUCCGUUACAACACAAAAGAGGGCAUCAUUAGUUCAAUCAAGAAUUAAGCUAUAAGUUUGAGUUCCCAACACAGGAUGAAAGACCAGGGGCUCCUAUUAUAAGUUUCAGGUUUGCCGCACAGGUCUGCUGAUAAAGUUUUUAUGUUAUGUAUCUCUGUAUUGUUGCUCCAUCUCGUUAUUUGAUCUGUGUGUUUGGGUUAUAACAAAAACCCGAAGGGUAAAAGUUAGAAAACAUUGUAAUGUUUAGUGAUAAGUUUCCUGGAUAAAUGUUGUUGGAUUUUCGUAUAGACGAUCUCCGAGUUGUCCUUGUAGCUGUGAUGCUCCCGUUCCAGCAUAAACUAUGUCGCUGAAAACUGGGUGGCACACAAGAAGCAGGAGACGUAUCCGUAGACGCAUCCCUAAUAGAUUUGUAGGAGGGUAUAACAAACAAAAGGAUGAAGUCGAGGAAGGUUUGAUUUGCGCUGAUGACUAGUGCUUUGUAAGAAGGAAUUUGGAGCCAGUGUUUACUCUGACUGAUAAAGAGAAGUGGGAUUGAUGCCAGGUUCUGUACUGCGAGCAAUGAACUUGUCCCUGAUCCCAUGGGUUAUACUUCUUCUUUUUCUUUUUGCGAUAUGAUUUUUUGCUGGUGUUGUAGAGGAAAGAAGAAAUAGUGGUAAAAAAUUUAACACUGUAAUGGGAAUUCACUUGUCAUUUUUUAACUUGAAUGAAUGUAAA
Long non-coding RNA from Papaver somniferum (opium poppy), 2922 nucleotides. RefSeq lists it as uncharacterized. The record is from RefSeq and is a predicted model, not a curated record. Lineage: Eukaryota; Viridiplantae; Streptophyta; Magnoliopsida; Ranunculales; Papaveraceae. The transcript is spliced from 6 exons.